Molecule: ribosomal RNA, 432 nt
Filed under: uncultured bacterium
Lineage: Bacteria
Description: partial 16S ribosomal RNA
Rfam family: Bacterial small subunit ribosomal RNA
Source: RNAcentral
CCUACGGGAUGCAGCAGUAGGGAAUCUUCCGCAAUGGACGAAAGUCUGACGGAGCAACGCCGCGUGAGUGAUGAAGGUUUUCGGAUCGUAAAACUCUGUUGUUAGGGAAGCGGUACCUAACCAGAAAGCCACGGCUAACUACGUGCCAGCAGCCGCGGUAAUACGUAGGUGGCAAGCGUUGUCCGGAAUUAUUGGGCGUAAAGCGCGCGCAGGCGGUCCUUUAAGUCUGAUGUGAAAGCCCACGGCUCAACCGUGGAGGGUCAUUGGAAACUGGGGGACUUGAGUGCAGGAGAGAAGAGUGGAAUUCCACGUGUAGCGGUGAAAUGCGUAGAGAUGUGGAGGAACACCAGUGGCGAAGGCGACUCUUUGGCCUGUACUGACGCUGAGGCGCGAAAGCGUGGGGAGCAAACAGGAUUAGAUACCCUGGUAGUC